RNAcentral lists this unclassified non-coding RNA (591 nucleotides) under Sedum spathulifolium subsp. purdyi. Its description in RNAcentral is "sequence contains ITS1, 5.8S rRNA gene and ITS2". The stretch from base 219 to 374 matches the Rfam family "5.8S ribosomal RNA". The record is from RNAcentral. Lineage: Eukaryota; Viridiplantae; Streptophyta; Magnoliopsida; Saxifragales; Crassulaceae.
UCGAAGCCUAGAAAGCGCGACCGCGAACGAGUUUCCAAUCCGGGGGGCAGCUUCGGGGAGCUCUCGGGCGCCUCGUCGCUACCCCCCGUUCGGGAGGGCAGCCUCUCGAAACUAACGAACCCCGGCGCGGAAAGCGCCAAGGAAUCAUAACGAAGGAACUCGUCCCUCUGGCCCGUCCUCGGGUCCGAGGGGCGGAGUCUGUUCAAAAGAAUCAUAACGACUCUCGGCAACGGAUAUCUCGGCUCUCGCAUCGAUGAAGAACGUAGCAAAAUGCGAUACUUGGUGUGAAUUGCAGAAUCCCGUGAAUCAUCGAGUCUUUGAACGCAAGUUGCGCCCGAAGCCUUUAGGCCGAGGGCACGUCUGCCUGGGCGUCAUGCACUGCGAUGCCCCCCCACCCAAGCGGGCGCGAAGCGUGGCCUCCCGUGAGCCCAUCUCGCGGAUGGCUUAAAUUCGAGCCUCGGGACGGCGAGACGUCGCGACAAGUGGUGGUUUAAGGGGCCUUUCGGCCUCCUGGCAUUUGCGCAUCGCGGCCUCGCCCCUCCAUCGGUUCCAAGUAAAAUACCCAAGGAGCGCACUCGCGCUGCCAGCAUC